AUGGCUGAGAUUGUGCUUCUUCUAGUAAUUGAGAAGAUCGGAGUCGCCUUGGCAAAUGGAGCAGUACAUCAAGCCAGUGCACAGUUUUUCAGGUACGCGACCCGACUAAUAGUGCUAUAGGGCAGCAUGGGUCGCGUUAUUAGGGAGCUUUGCAUAAUUCAUGAUGUUCUAUGACAAAUGGACAUUCGAAACCGCCACAAUCAAGUGUAUAAGGGCUGGUUGGAUGAGGUGCGGAAGGUAGCACAUGCGAUGGAGGAUAUGGUGGAUGAGUACAUAUAUCAAGUUGGUCGGGAACAUGAUACUGGGUGUUGUUUUUACCUGAAGACAGGGCUUAGAAAACCAAGAUCUCUAUUUUCCUUGAAUCAUAUAUCUUCCAAAGUGAAGAAAAUUGAGAAAGACCUUGCACACCUACCAGAGAUGAAAAACCGAUGGGUUCCCGUGAUAGACCAAGAAGAUACUAGCAACUUGAAUUACAUGAUCAAGAAGUCUCAAGAUCUAGCAAACAUUUCACGUUCCCUUGAUGACCAAGAUCUAGUUGGGGUGGAUGAAAACAGAAGUAAACUUGAGCAAUGGUUGGGAAGUGAUGAUGGGGAAUGUUCACUGGUAGGAAUGAGUGGGCUGGGCAAAACAGCUUUAGCUUCAAAUAUCUAUAGGAAAGAGAGAGAGAAAUUUCAGUGCCAUGCAUGGGUCUCCAUCUCUCAAACUUAUUCUAGAGAAGAUGUCUUGAGGAAUAUAAUGAAGGAACUAUUCAAAGAUAAAGUCAGUGGUCGAUCAAACAUUGCAGCGAUGGAUACAUCACAAGCCUUGAAGAGACAUUAA
This 819-nucleotide ribosomal RNA is filed under the name Triticum aestivum (bread wheat). RNAcentral describes it as "partial small subunit ribosomal RNA". Lineage: Eukaryota; Viridiplantae; Streptophyta; Magnoliopsida; Poales; Poaceae. The record is from RNAcentral.